This 73-nucleotide transfer RNA is filed under the name Phycisphaerales bacterium. RNAcentral describes it as "tRNA-Val". It matches the Rfam family "tRNA". From Rfam's summary of the family: Transfer RNA (tRNA) molecules are approximately 80 nucleotides in length. Their secondary structure includes four short double-helical elements and three loops (D, anti-codon, and T loops). Further hydrogen bonds mediate the characteristic L-shaped molecular structure. tRNAs have two regions of fundamental functional importance: the anti-codon, which is responsible for specific mRNA codon recognition, and the 3' end, to which the tRNAs corresponding amino acid is attached (by aminoacyl-tRNA synthetases). tRNAs cope with the degeneracy of the genetic code in two manners: having more than one tRNA (with a specific anti-codon) for a particular amino acid; and 'wobble' base-pairing, i.e. permitting non-standard base-pairing at the 3rd anti-codon position. Lineage: Bacteria; Pseudomonadati; Planctomycetota; Phycisphaerae; Phycisphaerales. The record is from RNAcentral.
GGGCGGUUAGCUCAAUUGGCAGAGCACUACCCUUACAAGGUAGGGGUCACAGGUUCGAGCCCUGUACCGCCCA